GGAUUAGUCUGACAAAAUAUACCAAUGUCUACUCAAGCAGUUUUUAGUUCAGUAACCAAACUAGACUCCAUGUCUAAUCAGAUUAAGGAAGGCUAUUUAACCUAAGCACCAUGCUUAAUUUAAAAGCCAAUAGAAGUAUGGCGAGUACUUCCAAACCAACACUUGCUAGUAAAUAGACAAAGGUAGCAUGACAGCAUUUAUAGAGAUCUACUCAUGUGGAGAUGAAGUAGUGUGAUUAGUAUUAACAAAUUG
Molecule: long non-coding RNA, 252 nt
Filed under: Sorghum bicolor (sorghum)
Lineage: Eukaryota; Viridiplantae; Streptophyta; Magnoliopsida; Poales; Poaceae
Description: long non-coding RNA (SBIC_LNC013116)
Source: RNAcentral